GGAUGUGAGGGCAAUCUGGCUGUGACAUCUGUCACCUCAUUGAUAUCCAGGGUUGAUUCAUCUGAUCUGGCUGGCUAGGUGGGUGUCCCCUUCCUCACUGCUCCAUGUGCGUCCCUUCCAAAGCUGCACGCUAGGUCGAAGAGGACGGCCUUCCCCGAAUAGAAGUAUUCCCUAGAACUUUAAUGUUUCCAGUUAUUUAAGUGUAGUUUAGGAGAAUUUCCAACACACGGUGGGGGGACUAUACUAAAAAUACUCAUUGGAUAAAUAUACUGAGGGACCAGGUGAUGGCUCAACUG
Unclassified non-coding RNA from Erinaceus europaeus (western European hedgehog), 296 nucleotides. Its record names the gene 7SK. It matches the Rfam family "7SK RNA". Rfam says of the family: 7SK was discovered as an abundant small nuclear RNA in the mid-70s but a possible function has only recently been suggested. Two independent studies have found that 7SK RNA binds the CDK9/cyclin T complex (known as elongation factor P-TEFb). The record is from Ensembl. NCBI's taxonomy places the organism in Eukaryota, Metazoa, Chordata, Mammalia, Eulipotyphla, Erinaceidae.